GCCUUAUCAAGAGUGGUGGAGGGAACGGCCCUAUGAAGCCCGGCAACCUGCGCAGACGCGCAAGGUGCUAAAUCCGGCGGUAGUGUAUCGAAAGAUGAGGG
This 101-nucleotide non-coding RNA is filed under the name Firmicutes bacterium ASF500. RNAcentral describes it as "SAM riboswitch aptamer (S box leader)". It matches the Rfam family "SAM riboswitch aptamer (S box leader)". From Rfam's summary of the family: The SAM riboswitch is found upstream of a number of genes which code for proteins involved in methionine or cysteine biosynthesis in Gram-positive bacteria. The SAM riboswitch acts at the level of transcription termination control. The record is from Rfam by way of RNAcentral. Lineage: Bacteria; Bacillati; Bacillota. RNAcentral also lists the same sequence under 1 other name.